This is a small nuclear RNA of Pteronotus mesoamericanus, 191 nucleotides long. RefSeq annotates it as U2 spliceosomal RNA. The record is from RefSeq and is a predicted model, not a curated record. Lineage: Eukaryota; Metazoa; Chordata; Mammalia; Chiroptera; Mormoopidae. The transcript has a single exon.
AUUGCUUCUUGGCCUUUUGGCUAAGAUUAAGCAUAGUAUCUGUUCUUAUCAGUUUAAUGUUUGUUACGUCAUCUAUCCAAAGAAAAUACACUAAAUGGAUUUUUGGAGCAGGGAGGUGGAAUAGAAGCUUGCUCUGUUCAUUCCAUGCAUUGGCCCAGUAUUGCUGUACUUCUGGGAACAGUGCAAAAAGA